CUGCACGCGCGUUACACUGACAGAGGCAACGAGUUUUUUUCCUUGGCCGGAAGGCCUGGGUAAUCUUGUUAAACUCUGUCGUGCGUGCUGGGGAUAGAGCAUUGCAAUUAUUGCUCUUCAACGAGGAAUGCCUAGUAAGCGCAUGUCAUCAACAUGUGCUGAUUACGU
This 168-nucleotide ribosomal RNA is filed under the name uncultured eukaryote. Its description in RNAcentral is "partial 18S ribosomal RNA". It matches the Rfam family "Eukaryotic small subunit ribosomal RNA", at positions 1487 to 1650 of the family's 1831-position model. The record is from RNAcentral.